AUUGAACGCUGGCGGCAGGCUUAACACAUGCAAGUCGAGCGGGGGAAGGUAGCUUGCUACUGGACCUAGCGGCGGACGGGUGAGUAAUGCUUAGGAAUCUGCCUAUUAGUGGGGGACAACAUCUCGAAAGGGAUGCUAAUACCGCAUACGUCCUACGGGAGAAAGCAGGGGAUCUUCGGACCUUGCGCUAAUAGAUGAGCCUAAGUCUGAUUGGCUAGUUGGUCGGGUAAAGGCCUACCAAGGGGACGAUCUGUGGCGGGUCUGAGAGGAUGAGCCGCCACACUGGGACAGAGACACGGCCCAGACUCCUACGAGAGGCAGCAGUGGGGAAUAUUGGACAAUGGGGGGAACCCUGCUCCAGCCAUGCCGCGUGUGUGAAGAAGGCCUUAUGGUUGUAAAGCACUUUAAGCGAGGAGGAGGCUACUUUAGUUAAUACCUAGAGAUAGUGGACGUUACUCGCAGAAUAAGCACCGGCUAACUCUGUGCCAGCAGCCGCCGCAG
This 501-nucleotide ribosomal RNA is filed under the name uncultured bacterium. RNAcentral's name for it is "partial 16S ribosomal RNA". It matches the Rfam family "Bacterial small subunit ribosomal RNA", at positions 30 to 523 of the family's 1533-position model. The record is from RNAcentral.